This is a long non-coding RNA of Myotis daubentonii (Daubenton's bat), 852 nucleotides long. RefSeq lists it as uncharacterized. The transcript has 2 exons. NCBI's taxonomy places the organism in Eukaryota, Metazoa, Chordata, Mammalia, Chiroptera, Vespertilionidae. The record is from RefSeq and is a predicted model, not a curated record.
AACAGGAUCAUGGCCUAUAAAAUGCUUCAAGUGGUCUUGUGUUCAACUUUGCUUAUUGGCUCAUGAAAAAUGGACUGCUUUGAAGACAACAGCACAGUAUUAUCUGAAUGUGAAUUCCUUCACUUCUGACAUAUCUACUACCCAAUAAAUAUGCUUUGCUGGUUAAACCAGGACAGCAAAAACAGUGGGAGUCAGCACGGCAAUGUACCAAAACCACAGCUUUGGCGUGCUGAAAGCAAAUGCUUGUCACUUACUAGAUUAUUUAUUAUGUCUGUCUCACAGAGACGUUGAACAAAGUAAAUAUGGAAAUUUAUGUAGUGACCUAGAAUUCAAAGUUCUUUGUAAAUGGUAGGUAAAAUGAGCACUAAAGUUAAAAAGACUGUAGUAAUAACAUUUAUCAGAAAGGCCUUUUACUGAAAAAGAAAAAAAUAUUUAAAGCAGUAUCAUUAAAAUUCUCCGUUCAUAGCUAUUGCUUUCUAUUGCCUCUUCUUUGUUAGUUUACUUUUUAACUCAAGUAAGAGAGAUUUCUUAAAUGGGGCUGGUUCUCUCCUCUUCUCUUCAAUAUUUGUCACUGUCUAAAGCCAAGCUAUUUUAAGACCACACUCCUGAAACGUUUUUCAUCAAAGGUGUAUUACUGAGAGCAGUAGAAAAUAAAAUCUUAACUCAUAUUAGGGAGUAGAUGGUGACUAGGACCCCACUGAAAGCCACUCAUUUACAUAAAUGUCAACUUGUUCAGAAGUUUUGCCACAUGUAUGUAAAUUUGUAUUCUGCUCUAUAAUAUACUGUUAAUGUUUAUUUUAUUAUGAAAUAACAGAUUUGGCUUACUGGCCAGGAAUAUUUAUUGAUCUUUUA